RNAcentral lists this ribosomal RNA (173 nucleotides) under uncultured bacterium. RNAcentral describes it as "partial 16S ribosomal RNA". It matches the Rfam family "Bacterial small subunit ribosomal RNA", at positions 1320 to 1500 of the family's 1533-position model. The record is from RNAcentral.
AUGAAGCUGGAUUCGCUAGUAGUCGCGCAUCAGCCACGGCGCGGUGAAUACGUUCCCGGGCCUUGUACACACCGCCCGUCAAGCCAUGGGAGCCGGGAGUGCCCGAAGUGCGCGGCCGCGAGGAGCGCCCUAGGGCAAGACUGGUGACUGGGGCUAAGUCGUAACAAGGUACC